UGGCGGACGGGUGAGUAACGCGUGGGUAACCUGCCUCAUACAGGGGGAUAACAGUUAGAAAUGACUGCUAAUACCGCAUAAGCGCACAAAACCGCAUGGUUUGGUGUGAAAAACUGAGGUGGUAUGAGAUGGACCCGCGUCUGAUUAGCUAGUUGGUGGGGUAAUGGCCUACCAAGGCAACGAUCAGUAGCCGGCCUGAGAGGGUGAACGGCCACAUUGGGACUGAGACACGGCCCAAACUCCUACGGAAGGCAGCAG
This 258-nucleotide ribosomal RNA is filed under the name uncultured bacterium. Its description in RNAcentral is "partial 16S ribosomal RNA". It matches the Rfam family "Bacterial small subunit ribosomal RNA", at positions 96 to 354 of the family's 1533-position model. The record is from RNAcentral.